RNAcentral lists this ribosomal RNA (473 nucleotides) under uncultured bacterium. Its description in RNAcentral is "partial 16S ribosomal RNA". It matches the Rfam family "Bacterial small subunit ribosomal RNA", at positions 28 to 507 of the family's 1533-position model. The record is from RNAcentral.
GAUAAACGCUGGCGGCGCACAUAAGACAUGCAAGUUGGACGGACUUAAUCGAAAUAUUUAUAUUUUGAAGCGGUUAGUGGCGGACUGGUGAGUAACGCGUAAGGAACCUGCCUAUUAGAGGGGAAUAACAGUGAGAAAUCAUUGCUAAUACCGCAUAUGCCAUAGAUAUCACAUGAUAACAGUGGGAAAGGAGCAAUCCGCUAAUAGAUGGCCUUGCGUCUGAUUAGAUAGUUGGUGGGGUAACGGCCUACCAAGUCGACGAUCAGUAGCCGGACUGAGAGGUUGAACGGCCACAUUGGGACUGAGAUACGGCCCAGACUCCUACGGGAGGCAGCAGUCGGGAAUAUUGCGCAAUGGAGGAAACUCUGACGCAGUGACGCCGCGUAUAGGAAGAAGGUUUUCGGAUUGUAAACUAUUGUCGUUAGGGAAGAGAAAGGACAGUACCUAAGGAGGAAGCUCCGGCUAACUACGUG